AGAGUUUGAUCAUGGCUAACGAACGCUGGCGGCGUGCCUAACACAUGCAAGUCGAACGCGAAAGGGGGCAACCCCCGGUAGCGUGGCAGACGGGUGAGUAACACGUGGGUAACCUACCCGGAGGUGGGGGAUAACCCUUCGAAAGGAGGGCUAAUACCGCAUGACACCGCAGGGACUUCGGUCCUUGCGAUCAAAGCUGGCCUCUGUUUACAAGCUAGCGCCACCGGAUGGGCCCGCGCCCCAUUAGCUAGUUGGUGAGGUAACGGCUCACCAAGGCGACGAUGGGUAGCCGGCCUGAGAGGGCGAUCGGCCACACUGGAACUGCGACACGGUCCAGACUCCUACGGGAGGCAGCAGUGAGGAAUAUUGCGCAAUGGGCGAAAGCCUGACGCAGCGACGCCGCGUGGAGGAUGAAGGUCUUCGGAUUGUAAACUCCUGUCGAGUGGGACGAAUGCCGUGAGGGUGAACAAUCCUUACGGUUGACGGUACCGCUGGAGGAAGCCCCGGCUAACUCCGUGCCAGCAGCCGCGGUA
This 533-nucleotide ribosomal RNA is filed under the name uncultured Acidobacteriota bacterium. RNAcentral describes it as "bacterial SSU rRNA". It matches the Rfam family "Bacterial small subunit ribosomal RNA", at positions 8 to 522 of the family's 1533-position model. Lineage: Bacteria; Pseudomonadati; Acidobacteriota. The record is from RNAcentral.